Molecule: ribosomal RNA, 497 nt
Filed under: uncultured bacterium
Lineage: Bacteria
Description: partial 16S ribosomal RNA
Rfam family: Bacterial small subunit ribosomal RNA
Source: RNAcentral
GAUGAACGCUGGCGGCGUGCCUAAUACAUGCAAGUCGAGCGAACAGACGAGGAGCUUGCUCCUCUGACGUUAGCGGCGGACGGGUGAGUAACACGUGGAUAACCUACCUAUAAGACUGGGAUAACUUCGGGAAACCGGAGCUAAUACCGGAUAAUAUAUUGAACCGCAUGGUUCAAUAGUGAAAGACGGUUUUGCUGUCACUUAUAGAUGGAUCCGCGCCGCAUUAGCUAGUUGGUAAGGUAACGGCUUACCAAGGCAACGAUGCGUAGCCGACCUGAGAGGGUGAUCAGCCACACUGGAACUGAGACACGGUCCAGACUCCUACGGGAGGCAGCAGUAGGGAAUCUUCCGCAAUGGGCGAAAGCUUGACGGAGCAACGCCGCGUGAGUGAUGAAGGUCUUCGGAUCGUAAAACUCUGUUAUUAGGGAAGAACAAAUGUGUAAGUAACUAUGCACGUCUUGACGGUACCUAAUGAGAAAGCCACGGCUAACUACGUG